Molecule: ribosomal RNA, 761 nt
Filed under: uncultured cyanobacterium
Lineage: Bacteria; Bacillati; Cyanobacteriota
Description: bacterial SSU rRNA
Rfam family: Bacterial small subunit ribosomal RNA
Source: RNAcentral
GAUGAACGCUGGCGGUAUGCUUAACACAUGCAAGUCGAACGGGAGACUUCGGUCUCUAGUGGCGGACGGGUGAGUAACGCGUGAGAAUCUGCCUUUAGGACGGGGACAACAGUUGGAAACGGCUGCUAAAACCCGAUGUGCCCUUCGGGGUGAAAUAUUUAUAGCCUGAAGAUGAGCUCGCGUCUGAUUAGCUAGUUGGUGCGGUAAUGGCGUACCAAGGCGACGAUCAGUAACUGGUCUGAGAGGAUGACCAGUCACACUGGGACUGAGACACGGCCCAGACUCCUACGGGAGGCAGCAGUGGGGAAUUUUCCGCAAUGGGCGCAAGCCUGACGGAGCAAUACCGCGUGAGGGAGGAAGGCUCUUGGGUCGUAAACCUCUUUUAUCAGGGAAGAACACAAUGACGGUACCUGAUGAAUCAGCAUCGGCUAACUCCGUGCCAGCAGCCGCGGUAAUACGGAGGAUGCAAGCGUUAUCCGGAAUUAUUGGGCGUAAAGCGUCCGCAGGUGGUUAUGAAAGUUUGCUGUCAAAGCGCGAGGCUCAACUUCGUAUCGGCGGUGAAAACUUCAAGACUAGAGCUAGGUAGGGGUCACGGGAAUUCCCAGUGUAGCGGUGAAAUGCGUAGAUAUUGGGAAGAACACCAGCGGCGAAAGCGCGUGACUGGGCCUGAGCUGACACUCAUGGACGAAAGCUAGGGGAGCGAAAGGGAUUAGAUACCCCUGUAGUCCUAGCCGUAAACGAUGACAACUAGGUGUUGCCCG